This is a long non-coding RNA of Lepus europaeus (European hare), 1170 nucleotides long. RefSeq lists it as uncharacterized. The record is from RefSeq and is a predicted model, not a curated record. The transcript has 3 exons. NCBI's taxonomy places the organism in Eukaryota, Metazoa, Chordata, Mammalia, Lagomorpha, Leporidae.
UUCUCCAGGUGAACUUUGCCACUGCCCUCUUGAGGAGCCAAACCAACGGGGCUUCCCGGCCUUGGACUUGAACCUCUGAAACUAUGAACUAAGCAACCCUGUUUCUUUACAGGACACCGGCAGACAUGUGUAUCCCUAAGAGCGAGUCUGGGGAACUCUGCUGAGAAAGCUGACCACUGAGAAAGGGAGAAGGAGACCCCGUCAAACAACUUGAGCUUCCUUCCACCCCUGCCUGGCCCAGCGCUCGGAGACAGCCACCAGAAAAGCAGCUGGGAGUCGGAGGUGAGUGGAGGGAAGGAAGCAGAGGACAGCCGCUCGGUCACAGCAAGACUUGGAGGCCAGACAGCCGGAAACGCACCGGGUGGUGAGCAGGUCCGCCUAUGGGAACGGACAGAUGGGCCCCAGCCCCAGCCCGCUCCUGUGGUCUUCGAGGCCAACACCUCAGGGUCAGGCGGGCAGGGCUGGUGAGAGCUACUAGGCAAAGAGCUGACUUCACGCUUCCAGUGGGAGUUCAGGGCACAGGAGGAGGGGCGAGGGCACCUUACCCUGGAAGGCAGGGAACCCUGGGGGCUGUCACCCCCACAAGGCUGGGCGUGGUUGUUGGGGUGGAAGACGUGGGGUGUGUGUGUCCCCCCCCCCCACUCUGCUUUUCAAAUAAAUAAAUGAAUAUCUUUAACAAAGUUCUCUGGGAUGGGCACUUGGCUCAGUAGCUGAGACACUUAUAUCCCGUACUGGAGUACCUGGGUUUGAUAUCAUGCAGGCCCCAGGAGGCAGUAGUGAUGGUUCAAGUCGUUGGAUUCCUGCCAUCCAUGUGGGAGACCUGGACCAAGUUCCUGGCUUCCGGCUCCUGGGUUCGGCUGUUAUAGGCAUUUGGGGGGUUAAUCAGUGAGUGGGAGCUCCCUGUCUCUCAAAUAAAUAAAUAAAAACACUCAAAUAAGUUUUCUGGAGUAAAUAAUUUUAAAGUUAGAGAAUGAAAAUGCUGUCUUGUAAGACUGUUGAUCAUUCUGGGGAGAUGGACUUGUUUCUAGCCGUACUGGAGAGGCACAGACCGGGGUUCGCCCUCCUCCCCAAGACGAUCUAACAGCCAGCACGGCUCUCGGAUGCUGUACACAGGCCGUGCAGGGCACCUCCAGCUGGAAGCACGGAAGCGAAUGGGGGCAGCGUGCAGCC